UACGUAGGGACCAAGCGUUGUUCGGAUUUACUGGGCGUAAAGGGAGCGUAGGCGGCGUGACAAGUCACUUGUGAAAUCUCCGGGCUUAACUCGGAGCGGCCAAGUGAUACUGUUGUGCUGGGGUGCAGAAGGGGCAGCCGGAAUUCUUGGUGUAGCGGUGAAAUGCGUAGAUAUCAAGAGGAACACCUGAGGUGAAGACGGGUUGCUGGGCUGACACUGACGCUGAGGCUCGAAAGCUAGGGGAGCAAACGGG
This 253-nucleotide unclassified non-coding RNA is filed under the name uncultured Blastocatellales bacterium. RNAcentral's name for it is "contains 16S-23S intergenic spacer region". It matches the Rfam family "Bacterial small subunit ribosomal RNA", at positions 524 to 776 of the family's 1533-position model. The record is from RNAcentral. Lineage: Bacteria; Pseudomonadati; Acidobacteriota; Blastocatellia; Blastocatellales.